AUAUUUACCUGGCAGGGGAGAGACCAUGAAGGUGGCUGUCCCUGGGCAGGGAGGCUUGUCCAUUGCACUCUGGAUAUGCUGGCCCCAGCGGUUUCCCCAAAUAUGGGAAAUCAGACUGCAUAAUUUGUGGUAAAGAGGGUCUGAAUUCAUGACUUCC
Molecule: small nuclear RNA, 157 nt
Organism: Octodon degus (degu)
Lineage: Eukaryota; Metazoa; Chordata; Mammalia; Rodentia; Octodontidae
Gene: U1
Rfam family: U1 spliceosomal RNA
About the family: U1 is a small nuclear RNA (snRNA) component of the spliceosome (involved in pre-mRNA splicing). Its 5' end forms complementary base pairs with the 5' splice junction, thus defining the 5' donor site of an intron. There are significant differences in sequence and secondary structure between metazoan and yeast U1 snRNAs, the latter being much longer (568 nucleotides as compared to 164 nucleotides in human).
Source: Ensembl